Molecule: transfer RNA, 73 nt
Filed under: Camelus bactrianus (Bactrian camel)
Lineage: Eukaryota; Metazoa; Chordata; Mammalia; Artiodactyla; Camelidae
Also listed under: 2 other names
Rfam family: tRNA
About the family: Transfer RNA (tRNA) molecules are approximately 80 nucleotides in length. Their secondary structure includes four short double-helical elements and three loops (D, anti-codon, and T loops).
Source: Rfam by way of RNAcentral
GAGGGUAUAGCUCAAGUGGCAGAGGUCAUGCUUAGCAUGCAUGAGGUCCUGGGUUCAAUCUCCAGUUUCUCCU